UUGACACUCAAAUGAUAACGUUUAUCAUUAGCAACAAGUCAUCGCGAGAUGGCUGUGAUAACAGGAUUGUCGCGAGACAAACGGUUAUCUCCUCAUCAGGCUAAUCACGGAUUUCGCCCGCUCACUGAGCGGGCUUUUUUUU
Molecule: small RNA, 142 nt
Filed under: Halopseudomonas aestusnigri
Lineage: Bacteria; Pseudomonadati; Pseudomonadota; Gammaproteobacteria; Pseudomonadales; Pseudomonadaceae
Description: Pseudomonas aestusnigri PrrF RNA
Rfam family: PrrF RNA
About the family: PrrF RNA is a small RNA involved in iron homeostasis and is found exclusively in Pseudomonas species. Their expression is induced under iron limitation by the ferric uptake regulator (Fur) and they act to negatively regulate several genes including sodB and sdh.
Source: RNAcentral